UACGGAGGAUUCGAGCGUUAUCCGGAUUUAUUGGGUUUAAAGGGUGCGCAGGCGGGGGAUUAAGUCGGCAGUGAAAUUUUGCAGCUCAACUGUAAAAGUGCCUUCGAAACUGGUUUCCUUGAGUGUAGAUGAAGUAGGCGGAAUUUGUGGUGUAGCGGUGAAAUGCAUAGAUAUCACGAGGAACUCCGAUUGCGCAGGCAGCUUACUAAACUACUACUGACGCUCAGGCACGAAGGCGUGGGGAUCAAACAGGAUUAGAUACCCCCGUAGUCCCU
RNAcentral lists this ribosomal RNA (275 nucleotides) under uncultured prokaryote. RNAcentral describes it as "partial 16S ribosomal RNA". It matches the Rfam family "Bacterial small subunit ribosomal RNA", at positions 524 to 798 of the family's 1533-position model. The record is from RNAcentral.